Molecule: long non-coding RNA, 3767 nt
Organism: Triticum aestivum (bread wheat)
Lineage: Eukaryota; Viridiplantae; Streptophyta; Magnoliopsida; Poales; Poaceae
Exons: 11
Source: RefSeq, a predicted model, not a curated record
CCUCCUGCCCUGCCCACCCGGUCCGGCCGGAUCCAGCCCCAACACGCUCCACUUUCCUUCGAUUUCCGCCGCCCGCCGAAGCUGUCUCCGGCAAGGACCCAGCCGGCGACACGGCCUCUUCCCGGCGGCCCACCAGCGGCCAGGCGCGCCCUUUCCUCCCUCCCCGCGCUCUGGCCGUGGCCGGUCUGCUCCUCCUCUCUUUGUCCGGGGCCCCGGGUCAUGGCCGUCUCUCGCCUCGCCUCCUCGCGUCCGGUUUGGAUUCGCUCCUCCUCGAUUCGUCGCCCGUUCAGGUUUAGAAGGGAAAAUACACGAUAACCCCCCAGUUCGCGCGCCUUUGAUCAUAUGCCCCCCUUUGUGUCACUGACAUGUGGGGCCGGACCCGCGCCUGAUUUGGUUUUCGCUCCUGCUCGAUUCGCCCGUUUGGAAUUGCGCCUGGUUUGAUCUUGCUCGUCCUCGCAGUCGUCUGUUUGGGGUCGCGUCUGGUUCGAUUUCGCUCGUCCUCGCCGCCGUCGUCCGUGUAGGGUCGCUUCCAGUUUGAUUUCGCUCGUCCUUGUCGUCGUCCGUGUAGGGUCGCGCCUAGCUCGAUUUCGCUCGUCCUCGCCAUUGUCCCGAUGCGCUCGCAUGUUCUUGGUCCGUCUCACCUCGUCGGGGUCUCCUCCGUCUCGUUUGUGUACUAGCAAUUCUGUCCAUGCGCGCUUCUGUUAUCCGAACUAGCAGUCCUGGGUUUCGCGCUCGCGUCUGGUUUCGAAAUUGGAUUACGGCCGGAGACGGGGAGCAGUGUUCGUUUAUUGUGCUAGUUCAGACCGGUUCCUCCGUUCCGUCACCUACGUUGCUCUUGGUGAUUUUCAGAACUCAAACGUAUGUUCUCCUGUGAUACUCUGUCAAUUCUUGGCCCUCUGCCAGUUCUUGUUGGCCCUCUGUCAAUUCUUGAGUUCCAGGGUCUGUUAAUUCUUUACUUCUUGUUGUACCAGCUAGGCGUGUGUGCUCUCAUCCUAGAUUCAGAGAUAGGGUGAUUCCUUACGCUUGAUCUCAUGGUGUUUCCUUACUGUUUAUGUUCUUUCCAAUUUGUUUCUUUUUAUCAUGGCUUGCUUGUGUGUUCCGAGCAAAAAAGUUUUACAAGAGUGCAAGCCAUGUGGCCUGCUGCUUGACUAAUUGAACACCUGCUGCUGUUACUGUUGGACAUGGUUCCUUCUUUUCUUCUUGAUGUUGCUAUUUCCAUUGAACUACUCAUAGGAGUUCUAGAUGAGCUGCUGCUAGUUAGUUCCCCUUAGACUACAUUCUAGAUUGCAUAGCAUAAUUCCAGAAUUUUGUCAUUGCACACCUGGGCAUAUAAUUCUGUUGUGAGCAUAACUCCUGAAUUCAUUCAUCCGUGAAAGCACGUUCAUCACAUGUUUUUUACCAUGCUGCUAACUUCUGUCAUGUCCCUUUCCUUUGGACAAGAAUUUCAACGAACCUAUAACGUGGACAUGUGCUGCUUGUUUUCUUGUGAUGGUGGUUAUCCAAUUGAGUACCCCAACUCUUAUGCUCUGACAUUUGUUAAUCCCCACUUAGUGUGCAUGAAAAAUUAUUGUUUGUCAUGUUAAAUUUUAUGGCAUCAAUUCGGUAUUGUGAUUAAUGACUCAGUAUUUGUUUAGUGUAGACAGUUGACUUCUUUUUUCUUAAGCUUUUAGUGAUAUGCGUGUUUUGUUAUGUCUUAUGGGGAUAUCAUGUUCUUUCUUUGUAUUACUAAUGUCCAGUCAAUGGAAAAUGCUUUUCUUGCUUUGCCUAGACUUUGUGACAAUGAACUUAUAGUGCGAUCAUUGAUCAUUGAGCUUCUGACACCCUAUUCCAUAAAAUUCUGUUGUAAUGUUUGCUGGAUCAUUGAGUAGUUAAUAUUGAUUCUGAGUUUGUUGGAUCAUUAACUUCUGUGUGUGCUUUGGUUAUCUAAGAGACACUCACUAUCCUUUGUUUCAUAUUCGUGGCGGAAUGAUGAAAGAUUAUGUUCCGUGUCCCCGUGUUUCGUGUUCGCCGGUCUGGUUUUGGAUUUGGAUUACGGAGACAGGGAGAGGCCAAAGCAAGGUCAGUUUAUCGUGUUCGCUCAGAUCGGUUCCUCGGUUCCGUCGUUGCAUUGUUCGUCGGCGAUUUCCAGACCUGAAACGCAUGCACCCUUGUGAUACUCUGGUUUGGCUCGCUGGUCGUCAUGGUUGUUCGUUACGGUUGUUCUUAUGUUCUUGAAUCACCCAUCUUAUAAGCAGAGAUGGGGUGAUACAUUAUGGUUGUUCUGAUGGUUGUUUAUUUAGUGUUCUUUCCAAUUGGGUUCUUCUUGCCAUGCUUUGCUUAUGUUCCCAAUGUCUGUCUUUCCAUAGAUGGGGAUGCGUUAGGGUGCAAACCGUGUAGGCCAUGGUGUGUUUUUACUAGUUAUGGUGUGUUUUAUACUAUCUGAUGUUGAAGGUGGAAAUAUUGAUAUCACUUCUGUGUUAGUAUACUUGAUAUGGUGUGUUUUAUUCAAGUAAUUAACCACAUCUCUUACAAAUUUUCCUUGAGAUACAUGUUUAUAUGGCAGGAGUGAUUGUCUUGACGAAUAAUCAUUUAUGCUAACAGACCAGUACUUGAUCAUAGGUAACAGACCAGUACUUGAUCAUAGGUUAUAGACCAAUACUUCACAUAGGUAACAGACCAGUACUUGUUUAGUGCAGACAACUGACUAUUCUUUUUUCUGAACUUUUUGUGAUAUGUCUGUUAUGUGAAUAUCAUAUUCUAAUGCUUUUCUAAGUAUUUAAGGUACAGACUUGUGGAUCUGGACAUUUCACAUCUGCUCUUUAUUGUGUUGCUAAGGACACUGAACGGUUUGUCUGGGCCACCGCACAGCCUGGCUAAUCAGGUUGUAGUGAUUAGGGGGAAGCUUGCAGAACUGUAUGAAUUUGAACAACAAUGGUCAAGAGCAUGGAAAAUGCUUAGUGGCUUUGACUUGGACUCAGGAAUAAGAAUGCUUGAUGACAAACAAAUUAUCCAAGUGCGUCCAGAUUGCACGACUCUAUUUGGAGGAUGAUGAUGCAGUGAAUGUUGAAGCUUUUAUCAACAAAGCCUCAUUUUUUGUCACAAACAGCAACCAGGAAGUUCUGAACUUUUAAUACAAGGUAUGCUAUGCGAGAAUUUUAGAUCUAAAGCGUAAAUUCUUGGAAGCUGCACUUCUAUACUAUGGUAUCUCUCAAAUUGAGCAACGCCAAAUUGGGGAUGAGUACAGACAUUGGAUCUGGACAUUUCACAUUGGCUCUUUAUUGUGUUGCUAAGGACACUGAUGGGUUGAGUUUGCAUAAAACGCAGUAUGGAGCAACAAAUUGGUCUCAUUGCAAGGUCACUACCUGGACGUAUAGGCAAGCAAUGUCAAGAGAGGUGGCAUAAUCAUCUGAAUCCAGACAUACAGAGAGAUGCUUGGACUAUGAGGAGGAACAUGCACUGUAUAAUGCCCAGGGAAUAAAUGGGCAGAAAUAGCAAAAUUUCUUCCUAGAAGACAUCUGAACAUUGCAGGAAUGGGGUACUUCCAUUUGUGUAACUUCUAUUUGUUAUCAGUUCUUCUCACCUAUAGCUAAAGUCAAAGACGACAAACCAGGUGAAUUAUUGGAGUUGCAAGAUACACAGAAUCAGUCAUCUUAAUCUUGUUUUGUAAAUAUGACUGCUGGUGCUGCUGGUAACGCUAUCCAUCGGCUUGUACCUCAUGAGAGGCAACCACAGUUGCGAACUUGAAACAUAUAUCUUUUAGGUAUGAAUGGCUUACCUUAGCCAAAAUU